AAGUCGGUCGGUAUGGGUAUGAAAAACCUUACAUCUUGAUUUAUUUAAAACUUGUUUAAGGUUAUUAAGCAGAUAGAGGCUAAUUUUGUUGUCUUUCUGCAGGUGCAUGAAGUGCUGCACCUAAUGGGAUGCUUGGUUCCUUUGUGCUAUUUGUGCUUCGAGUCAAUUUGGAGUUUGUAAGAAAAGCGUGAGCUUUGAAAAAGAAAAAAGGGCUCCUGUUUGCUAAUAGCACUUCUAAAUUCUAGCUUGGCAUUCUAUUGCAACAAUUUAAUUUGCAAGAUUGCAGCUUAGCUGUUGGAUCUUUGAACAAAAUCUGGGUCAUUGACAUGGUGAUACAAACAGUCCAUGGUGCACUCUUCAUCAUUCUACAUGCUACUUUUGAAAUCCCUCUAUCUAUUUUCUUCAUUCUGUGUGAAUUGAGUUAAUACUGGUGUGAGAUCACUAUAAGGACUAGACUUUUGGUGGUUCGAUUGGGGAUCGAUGUUACGAUAGAACAUCACAGAAUAGUUGUAUUUUGUUCUUGAGAUGAUUUGGUUGUAUAUUGGUUUGAACUCUUGUGUAUUUCUUUGUUUCUUUAAGUAUUUACUGCAAAUG
This 594-nucleotide long non-coding RNA is filed under the name Olea europaea (common olive). RNAcentral describes it as "long non-coding RNA (OEUR_LNC005661)". The record is from RNAcentral. Lineage: Eukaryota; Viridiplantae; Streptophyta; Magnoliopsida; Lamiales; Oleaceae.